This 253-nucleotide ribosomal RNA is filed under the name uncultured bacterium. RNAcentral describes it as "partial 16S ribosomal RNA". It matches the Rfam family "Bacterial small subunit ribosomal RNA", at positions 524 to 776 of the family's 1533-position model. The record is from RNAcentral.
UACAGGGGGUGCAAACGUUGCUCGGAAUCAUUGGGCGUAAAGCGCACGUAGGCGGUCUGUUAUGUCGGAUGUGAAAGCCCUUGGCUCAACUGAGGAAGUGCAUCCGAAACUGGCAGGCUAGAGUACUAAAGAGGAUCGCGGAAUUCCCGGUGUAGAGGUGAAAUGCGUAGAUAUCUGGAGGAAUACCGGUGGCGAAGGCGGCAUCCUGGACCGACAUUGACGCUGAACGGCGAAAGCUAGGGGAGCAAACGGG